This is a non-coding RNA of Ailuropoda melanoleuca (giant panda), 73 nucleotides long. Lineage: Eukaryota; Metazoa; Chordata; Mammalia; Carnivora; Ursidae. The record is from Rfam.
GCCUGGCUGGCUCAGUCAGUAGAGCAUGUGACUCUUGAUCUCAGGAUCGUGAGUUCAAGCCCCACGUUAGGUG